Molecule: ribosomal RNA, 253 nt
Filed under: uncultured bacterium
Lineage: Bacteria
Description: partial 16S ribosomal RNA
Rfam family: Bacterial small subunit ribosomal RNA
Source: RNAcentral
UACGUAGGGGGCAAGCGUUGUCCGGAAUCACUGGGCGUAAAGGGCGCGUAGGCGGCCUGAUAAGUAGGGGGUGAAAUCCUGCGGCUUAACCGCAGGGCUGCCUUCUAAACUGUCAGGCUUGAGCACAGUAGAGGCAGGUGGAAUUCCCGGUGUAGCGGUGGAAUGCGUAGAGAUCGGGAAGAACAUCAGUGGCGAAGGCGGCCUGCUGGGCUGUUGCUGACGCUGAGGCGCGACAGCGUGGGGAGCAAACAGG